RNAcentral lists this ribosomal RNA (457 nucleotides) under uncultured bacterium. RNAcentral describes it as "bacterial SSU rRNA". It matches the Rfam family "Bacterial small subunit ribosomal RNA", at positions 340 to 786 of the family's 1533-position model. The record is from RNAcentral.
UACGGGAGGCAGCAGUGGGGAAUAUUGCACAAUGGGCGAAAGCCUGAUGCAGCUAUGCCGCGUGUAUGAAGAAGGCCUUAGGGUUGUAAAGUACUUUCAUCGGGGAGGAAAAAACAAAACUAAUAAUUUUAUUUCUUGACGUUACCCGAAAAAGAAGCACCGGCUAACUCCGUGCCAGCAGCCGCGGUAAUACGGAGGGUGCUAGCGUUAAUCAGAAUUACUGGGCGUAAAGAGCACGUAGGUGGGUUUUUUAAAGUCAGAUGUGAAAUCCCUGGGCUUAACCUGGAACUGCAUUUUGAAACUGAAAUACUAGAGUAUCGUAGAGGGAGGUAGAAUUCUAGGUGUAGCGGUGAAAUGCGUAGAUAUCUGGAGGAAUACCUGUGGCGAAAGCGGCCUCCUAAACGAAUACUGACACUGAGGGUGCGAAAGCGUGGGGAGCAAACAGGGAUUAGAUACC